AAAGAUAUUCAGCUAGGGCUGGGCGAUGUGGGGAACAUCAAAUAUCACAAUAUUGUUGACCAAAUACCUCAAUAUCGAUACGGCAACGAUUUUGUAGUGUUGACCAUUGGUGCUUUCACAAAAUAUUUACAUAACGAGAUUUUUGAUAAACAAUCAUCAGUAAUGUGGAUAAAAUGACCAAGAAAUGACAUCACUUUGCUGUAAUGCAGCCUUUGAAACCAGGAAAAGACAA
Molecule: long non-coding RNA, 232 nt
Organism: Etheostoma spectabile (orangethroat darter)
Lineage: Eukaryota; Metazoa; Chordata; Actinopteri; Perciformes; Percidae
Exons: 3
Source: RefSeq, a predicted model, not a curated record